UACAGAGGUCCCAAGCGUUGUUCGGAUUCAUUGGGCGUAAAGGGUGCGUAGGUGGCGUGGUAAGUCGGGUGUGAAAUUUCAGAGCUUAACUCCGAAACUGCAUUCGAUACUGCCGUGCUUGAGGACUGGAGAGGAGACUGGAAUUUACGGUGUAGCAGUGAAAUGCGUAGAGAUCGUAAGGAAGACCAGUGGCGAAGGCGGGUCUCUGGACAGUUCCUGACACUGAGGCACGAAGGCCAGGGGAGCAAACGGG
Molecule: ribosomal RNA, 253 nt
Filed under: uncultured bacterium
Lineage: Bacteria
Description: partial 16S ribosomal RNA
Rfam family: Bacterial small subunit ribosomal RNA
Source: RNAcentral